RNAcentral lists this ribosomal RNA (253 nucleotides) under uncultured bacterium. RNAcentral describes it as "partial 16S ribosomal RNA". It matches the Rfam family "Bacterial small subunit ribosomal RNA", at positions 524 to 776 of the family's 1533-position model. The record is from RNAcentral.
UACGAAGGGGACUAGCGUUGUUCGGAAUUACUGGGCGUAAAGCGCACGUAGGCGGAUUUGUUAGUCAGGGGUGAAAUCCCGGGGCUCAACCUCGGAACUGCCUUUGAUACUGCAAGUCUCGAGUCCGAUAGAGGUGGGUGGAAUUCCUAGUGUAGAGGUGAAAUUCGUAGAUAUUAGGAAGAACACCAGUGGCGAAGGCGGCUCACUGGCCCGGUACUGACGCUGAGGUGCGAAAGCGUGGGGAGCAAACAGG